This 353-nucleotide ribosomal RNA is filed under the name uncultured bacterium. Its description in RNAcentral is "partial 16S ribosomal RNA". It matches the Rfam family "Bacterial small subunit ribosomal RNA", at positions 338 to 688 of the family's 1533-position model. The record is from RNAcentral.
CCUACGGGUGGCAGCAGUGAGGAAUAUUGGUCAAUGGGCGGAAGCCUGAACCAGCCAAGUAGCGUGCAGGAUGACGGCCCUACGGGUUGUAAACUGCUUUUAUACGGGAAUAACGCGCCUUACGUGUAGGGCUUUGCAUGUACCGUAUGAAUAAGGACCGGCUAAUUCCGUGCCAGCAGCCGCGGUAAUACGGAAGGUCCGGGCGUUAUCCGGAUUUAUUGGGUUUAAAGGGAGCGUAGGCCGGAUGUCAAGCGUGCUGUGAAAUGUCCGGGCUCAACCCGGGCCUUGCAGCGGGAACUGGCGGGCUUGAGGCGGCGGAAAGAAGGCGGAAGUGGUGGGGUAGCGGGGAAAUG